RNAcentral lists this long non-coding RNA (2431 nucleotides) under Sorghum bicolor (sorghum). Its description in RNAcentral is "long non-coding RNA (SBIC_LNC011006)". Lineage: Eukaryota; Viridiplantae; Streptophyta; Magnoliopsida; Poales; Poaceae. The record is from RNAcentral.
GAGUUUUUACAGAUUUUCAAAUAAAACUCAGAGAUUCCUUGUAUGAUUCUCUCAAGUCUCUCUUUUGUGGUAUUUCUAGAUCCUUACCAAGGCAAUAAAGGUGUAUGCCUUCUCUCAAAGUAUGUGGUAUUUUUGGUAUGAGGCAUAGUGACAUUGCCUUCUCUCUCACCCUACUCUAAUAAGGCUUUUGAUAUCUGGAGCUCAUAGGUGGGAGACAGCUAAUACAUACUUACAAGACAUUUAUUACAUAGUCAAACCAUGGAUCCAGAAGAUCAAGUCAAUAAGUCAAAUCAAGAUAUGCAUGUGUGGUGAAUGAAUGGUGUAUGGUGAUGAUGGUGAUAACAAUAGUGAAAGUCUAAUUCUACUUGUGCUCUUUUGAGGGGUUACAUACCUUUCUUGCUCUUUGAAGCUUUUUGAGAUGCUCUAUAUUUUCUUUUUUCUUUUCUCUCAGGUGGGUAUCUUGUACCCGUAAUUCUACUGUCGGACACUUGUCCAUUUUUACCUCUCGCCUCACUUUUUCUUUUCUUUCAAGGUUCCGGGCACUUGCCCCUUUUUAUUCCCUCGUUUUUUUAGAGCACUCAUCUCUUGAAAUAAUAUAGCAAGUGGUAGUAACCAAGAUAAGUUGAGCAUUUAUUCCACAGGGAAUAAUAGGAACAGGAUAAUGUUUUUGGCUAUUCUCUCCCGGAUUAGGAGUAGAAUACUUUUGGGUGAAUCUGGAGAUGGAAAUGAGUGGAUAUAUGUGGAUGCGUACUUCCGGGGUAGAAGCAACAUGUGUGAGUGAACGUGCAAGUGAAUCUUGAUUUUAACCACAUGACAAGCUCUUAAGGGUCUACACAGCUUGACCACACUCAAUGCUCAUAAGCAGUAAAAAAAUAAAUAUGUGGCUCAAAGUUUAGCAAGCAUGUAUAUAUGGCUGUGGUAGGAAUUUAAACUCUCAUCAUACAGGAACUCAUCAUGUGCUAUUUUAAAGAUAUUCAAAGAUAAAAUUCUCCAGAAUUCUAGCAUCUCUAGGAACAGAUAAACAGUAGCUCAACCUUCCCAUAUUGUAUCCGUUAACGACUUAGACUUUAGAUCAAGUACUCUCCCCACAAGUUCAGGUUUAGAGCAAAUCUUAAUUAAUAACAGUCAUGCCUAAACUUGAGAGAGAUUUCAAUUUUGAGAACUAAUCAUGGCAGAGCAACUAUUCAUCAUUUCCAUGUGAGAGCUUAUUAUGAGGGUUCAUAGCAAACUUUAUUUACUUAUUUAUUUAGCAAACUAAGCAAAGAUAUAUAUAUAAGCACAAAAUCUUUAUUUGAGUUUUUAUGAUUAUGUAUCUUUUUAUUAUUAGAGUAAAGUAUAAAUGUGAGUAGAACACUUAGCUGGAUAAAUGGGAGUGCUCUUCCCCAAGCUGAAUUUUGACGUAAUUUCUCCUGAUGUAGCUAGCAGGUGGCGGAGGUAUAUUUGAAUGUCGGCAGCACCCUGACAGCGAUUAGGGUGUCCUCAGUCUGCUCGUCUUCUUUGAUCCUUGAAUUCUGUGGAGCUCAAAUAGACAACAAAGCUUUGUGGAACUAGUUAAGUGUUAGCAUAAAUAUCUAGCCUUUAUCAUAUUGAGCCUCCUCAAUAAAUGUUACUCUCUUUGGUGGGAUCACAAUCUUAUUUUUAUAUUUUCAUUUUUAUAAGACAGGAAUAUGUACUUAUGGGUUUUAUGCCAUGAGCAUACUCACAUGGGGCUUACUAUUUUUAACAUUUUAUUUUCUUUUUAAGAUGAUAUGGACCUGAUUAACUAAGCAAACUAUUUUAAAAUAAUUGAAAGGAAAAAGAGAACUACCAAGUUUACCUCUUGGUAAGGCGUUCAGUGUUUUUAAGUCCUCCGAACAGGACUCUCCAUUUUCUCAGUCGUCCUGGGAUUCGCUGGAUGGCGUAGUCGGUGGUUCCAGCAGCGCCUCCUCUUCGUGUAUAACUAUCUUCUCUUUCCACACCUGACUCGGUGGUCGGUGCUACGGUCUCCUCAGGACAGUUCUGUUCAAGCUGUAUGUCUUCAGACCUUACCACUUCUCCUUCGUAGUCUGCCCAUCCGUCCUUGAUGAUUUGCCUCCUCUAGUUGUGGUUGCGUCGUCUUCUUCUUGUCCUGUCCUGCUUAGAGUCUUCAACUAUAUGGUUAGGGUCAGUAAAAUAGCAGCGUACCUUCUCAGAGGGGAAAUGCAUGUGGACUCCGCCGGUUCCAAUGUAGAUGAUUGCUUUAACGGUGCUGAGGAACAGUCUCCCAAUGGUGAUGGGUGGAUUGUACUCAUCUUCUCUCAUGUCAAUAACCUUAAAAUCAUCUGGAGCUGAAUGUAUGUUGGUUGUAGGGGCAUGGUUCCAUGCAGGAGCUGAUAAGUGACUGCGGCCAUUAUGUUGACGUCAGAUCCGGUGUCGUAGAGUGUCUUCUGAGAAGAAUAUCCGUUGAUUGUGC